UGGGGAAUAUUGGACAAUGGGCUAAAGCCUGAUCCAGCCAUUUCGCGUGUGUGAAGAAGGUCUUCGGUUUGUAAAGCACUUUACGUUGGGAGGAAGGGCAGUAAGCGAAUACCUUGCAGUUUUGACGUUACCGACAGAAUAAGCACCGGCUAACUCUGUGCCAGCAGCCGCGGUAAUACAGGGGGUGCAAGCGUUAAUCGGAAUUACUGGGCGUAAAGCGCGCGUAGGUGGUUCGUUAAGUUGAAUGUGAAAGCCCCGGGCUCAACCUGGGAACUGCAUCGAAAACUGGCGAGCUAGAGUAGGGCAGAGGGUGGAGGAAUUUCCUGUGUAGCGGUGAAAUGCGUAGAUAUAGGAAGGAACACCAGUGGCGAAGGCGACCAACUGGGCUCAUACUGACACUGAGGUGCGAAAGCGUGGGGAGCAAACAGG
RNAcentral lists this ribosomal RNA (429 nucleotides) under Pseudomonadota bacterium. RNAcentral's name for it is "Proteobacteria bacterium partial 16S ribosomal RNA". It matches the Rfam family "Bacterial small subunit ribosomal RNA", at positions 355 to 776 of the family's 1533-position model. The record is from RNAcentral. Lineage: Bacteria; Pseudomonadati; Pseudomonadota.